This 253-nucleotide ribosomal RNA is filed under the name Bacteroidales bacterium. Its description in RNAcentral is "partial 16S ribosomal RNA". It matches the Rfam family "Bacterial small subunit ribosomal RNA", at positions 524 to 776 of the family's 1533-position model. The record is from RNAcentral. Lineage: Bacteria; Pseudomonadati; Bacteroidota; Bacteroidia; Bacteroidales. RNAcentral also lists the same sequence under 1 other name.
UACGGAGGAUCCAAGCGUUGUCCGGAUUUAUUGGGUUUAAAGGGUGCGUAGGCGGAUUACUAAGUCAGGGGUGAAAGUUUGCAGCUUAACUGUAAAAUUGCCUUUGAAACUGGUAGUCUUGAGUAUAGUUGAGGUGGGCGGAAUGUGUCAUGUAGCGGUGAAAUGCUUAGAUAUGAUACAGAACACCGAUUGCGAAGGCAGCUCACUAAACUAAAACUGACGCUGAGGCACGAAAGCGUGGGGAGCAAACAGG